GUCCAGAGUAGUUUGUAGUGGACAUGGCAUCUUCCCGGUAAGCGGAACACUGUGGGUUCGAUUCCCAUCCUGGACA
Non-coding RNA from Cordylochernes scorpioides, 76 nucleotides. Lineage: Eukaryota; Metazoa; Arthropoda; Arachnida; Pseudoscorpiones; Chernetidae. The record is from the annotation of a GenBank genome assembly.